RNAcentral lists this ribosomal RNA (253 nucleotides) under uncultured bacterium. Its description in RNAcentral is "partial 16S ribosomal RNA". It matches the Rfam family "Bacterial small subunit ribosomal RNA", at positions 524 to 776 of the family's 1533-position model. The record is from RNAcentral.
UACGGAGGGUGCGAGCGUUGUCCGGAAUCACUGGGCGUAAAGGGUGCGUAGGCGGGUUUCUAAGUCAGAGGUGAAAGCCUGGAGCUCAACUCCAGAACUGCCUUUGAUACUGGAAGUCUUGAGUUCGGGAGAGGUGAGUGGAACUGCGAGUGUAGAGGUGAAAUUCGUAGAUAUUCGCAAGAACACCAGUGGCGAAGGCGGCUCACUGGCCCGAUACUGACGCUGAGGCACGAAAGCGUGGGGAGCAAACAGG